GAUGAACGCUAGCGGCAGGCCUAAUACAUGCAAGUCGAACGGUAGAUCGGGUAGCAAUACUUGAUUGAGAGUGACGUAAGGGUGCGUAACACGUAUGCAAUCUACCCUCAACAGGAGUAUAGCUCGGGGAAACUCGGAUUAACACUCCAUAACAUUACGAUGUGGCAUCACAUUGUGAUUAAAACUCCGGUGGUUGAGGAUGAGCAUGCGUCUGAUUAGUUAGUUGGAGGUGUAACGGACCCCCAAGACGAUGAUCAGUAGGGGAACUGAGAGGUUGAUCCCCCACACUGGCACUGAGAUACGGGCCAGACUCCUACGGGAGGCAGCAGUAGGGAAUAUUGGUCAAUGGGUGAGAGCCUGAACCAGCCAUGCCGCGUGAGUGAAGAAGGCC
RNAcentral lists this ribosomal RNA (391 nucleotides) under uncultured bacterium. RNAcentral's name for it is "bacterial SSU rRNA". It matches the Rfam family "Bacterial small subunit ribosomal RNA", at positions 28 to 416 of the family's 1533-position model. The record is from RNAcentral.